UAGGGAAUCUUCAGCAAUGGGGGGAACCCUGACCGAGCAACGCCGCGUGAGUGAAGAAGGUUUUCGGAUCGUAAAGCUCUGUUGUUAAGGAAGAACGAGUGUGAGAAUGGAAAGUUCAUACUGUGACGGUACUUAACCAGAAAGGGACGGCUAACUACGUGCCAGCAGCCGCGGUAAUACGUAGGUCCCGAGCGUUGUCCGGAUUUAUUGGGCGUAAAGCGAGCGCAGGCGGUUAGAUAAGUCUGAAUUUAAAGGCAGUGGCUCAACCAUUGUAGGCUUUGGAAACUGUUUAACUUGAGAGCAGAAGGGGGGAGAGGAAUUCCAUGUGUAGCGAUGAAUUACGUAGUUAUAUGGAGGAACACCGGUGGCGAAAGCGGCUCUCUUGUCUGUAACUGACGCUGAGGCUCGAAAGCGUGGGGAGCGAACAGG
Molecule: ribosomal RNA, 429 nt
Filed under: Bacteroidota bacterium
Lineage: Bacteria; Pseudomonadati; Bacteroidota
Description: Bacteroidetes bacterium partial 16S ribosomal RNA
Rfam family: Bacterial small subunit ribosomal RNA
Source: RNAcentral